Molecule: ribosomal RNA, 460 nt
Filed under: uncultured bacterium
Lineage: Bacteria
Description: partial 16S ribosomal RNA
Rfam family: Bacterial small subunit ribosomal RNA
Source: RNAcentral
CCUACGGGUGGCAGCAGUGAGGAAUAUUGGUCAAUGGACGCAAGUCUGAACCAGCCAUGCCGCGUGCAGGAAGACGGCUCUAUGAGUUGUAAACUGCUUUUGUACGAGGGUAAACGCAGAUACGUGUAUCUGUCUGAAAGUAUCGUACGAAUAAGGAUCGGCUAACUCCGUGCCAGCAGCCGCGGUAAUACGGAGGAUUCAAGCGUUAUCCGGAUUUAUUGGGUUUAAAGGGUGCGUAGGCGGUCGGAUAAGUUAGUGGUGAAAUCCCGAGGCUCAACUUCGGAAUUGCAUCUGAUACUGGUAGGCUAGAGAGUAGUUGAGGUAGGCGGAAUGUAUGGUGUAGCGGUGAAAUGCUUAGAGAUCAUACAGAACACCGAUUGCGAAGGCAGCUUACCAAGCUACUUCUGACGUUGAGGCACGAAAGCGUGGGGAGCAAACAGGAUUAGAUACCCCUGUAGUC